Molecule: unclassified non-coding RNA, 189 nt
Filed under: soil metagenome
Description: partial internal transcribed spacer 1
Source: RNAcentral
CAGAGUUGCAAAACUCCCACAAACCAUCGCGAAUCUUACCCGUACGGUUGCCUCGGCGCUGGCGGUCCGGAAGGCCCUCGGGCCCCCCCGGAUCCUCGGGUCUCCCGCUCGCGGGAGGCUGCCCGCCGGAGUGCCGAAACCAAACUCUUGAUAUUUUAUGUCCCUCUGAGUAAACUUUUAAAUAAGUCA